GCUGGUUUUCUACGAAACAUAUUUAAGUAUGACAUCUAUACAAAAUUUAUGGUGGUACAGCACUGAAUUCCCAACAAAGAUUAUGACAGUGAAUAAACAAAAUAUUUUUAUAUAAGUUUAUUAACUUCUAAUACUAAAGUUUAGGUUGAGGGGACCUCGAAAAUCUUACCAAUGGAAGAGAAACUCGAAAUGACAUAAAUUGAUGAUAGAUAUUCAGACUGCUCAUGAGAAAGUUGAGUAGUCAAGACGGAAACAGCCGAGAACACGAAUACAAGGUCCCAAAUGAUUAUUAAGUGAAAUUAAGGAAAUGACAUAUUGAAUGCAGCUGUAAAGUGAGCUUAGCACAAAAUACUUCUGAGCUUAAAAACUAAGUUAUAUGCAAGAAAACCCUAAAGAUGUUUUGCUGUAUCCCUUUAAAGGUAUAAACAGAAAAAGUAAACAUAUCUGUCAAAAUCUUUUGAUAAAAUGGGUAACUUGCAAGAAAAUUAAUAUUUAUUAAUUUCUUCACGACUAUACGCUUAGAACUCUUAUUCCUAUUUGAAGAGAUAAGAGUUAUGACAUAGUCUACCAAGUAUGAAAGUACUUGAUUUUUAUAAGUUUGUAGAGAAAGUAAUUACAUUCUUGUAAAUUAUUUUUGUUUUUUAUACUUUCGUAAUAUUAAUUAGUAACUAGAAGGUCGUUGGUUCUACCUUUCACCUAAAAGGCUAGCCCCUGGGUUAAAAUAGUAAACAUUAUUUAUUACUACAAAAAAAAAGUUUAUUUUUAAUAUUUUAAUAGCUACAAAAACAAUAAAUUUAAUGAACCAAAAUUUUAAUUUGUCUCCAGGUUAUAUUAGUGGAUUAGCUCAAACAGACGGGUCUUUCUUUUGCUCAGUAACCAUCUCUACAAAACGUAGAUUUGGACUUCAAUUUAGACCUAAAUUUACUCUAACUGCUGAUUUAGAUUCAAAGUACGUAUUAGACAAUAUAGCACAAUAAAUAUUUUGGGUGCGAAAAGGUCUCUACAAAUCUUAAAACCUAUAGUGCUGAAUACUUAGUAAAAGGAUUGAAGAGCUUCAAAUAUAAUAAUACCUCAUUUGAAUUUAAAAAGGGGUUCUGUGCAAAAUUACACGCUUUUAAGCUUUUAAAAAAAAUAGUCUCUGUUUUAAGUACUAAGGAAAAAAGAACAAUAGAAGGAAAAAUUGAACUAUUAAAAAUGGCACAAUCUAUGAAUAUUACUACUAAUAGGUCUAAAGAUCGAAUAGAUUUAUUAUUCUCUUUAUUAGGAUCCGAAAAUAUAGAAUUUAUAGAGAAUACUAUAACUAAUAUUACUUCACUUAUUACAAAUAAUAAUAUUGCUGGUAUUAUAGAUGGGGAUGGUUCAUUUUUUAUCUCCUUUAAUGGUGUAAUCAAAACAGGAUUAAGUAUAACUGGGGAUAAAGAUUCAAGACCUUUAUUAGAAGGUAUACAAGAAAGAUUUGAAGGAAUAGGUAGUAUUAAAAUAGGGUCCAAAAAAGAAUUAGUAUAUACAAUUACAGGUUUAAAUCAAAUAAUAAAUAUAUUAAUACCAUUUAUGGAUAAUAAUCCUUUAUUUUCUGAACGGCCAUCACACUAUGAAAAAUUUAAAAUAGUUAAUUUUAUCUUAAAAAAUGAACAACCUUUAACAAUGGAUAGUAAAUUAAAAAUAGUUGAAUUGACUUAUGAUAUGAAUAAAAAAGGAAAACGUCGAAGUUUGAGUAAAACAGAGUAUAUUAACCUAUUGAGAAAAGACAAAUAGUUUUACCUAAUCUAUGGUAUUAUCCCCCUUUAUUUUUUAUGGAGAUAAGGUUAGGUAGCUUUAUAAAUAUUAAUUACCAGACAAAAAGAUAGAAAAUGGGAAGUAGCUAUCUUUUAAUGACCGUAAUGAACAACGUAGCAGCCCUUAGAAUGUUGUGCCUAAAAUUUAACGGGUCUAAAUAAUCAACCGAUAUCGUGUUUAUUUUGAAUACAUAAAAAAUAUUUUUAUUCAGAAUAUAGGUAGUAGAACAUUCAGUAAAACUUAAAAUAAAACAGUGUUUCAUUGUUUUUAGGUAACUGAAGAGAUAAUGCUGACAUGAGUAACGUAAAAAGAAGUUAUAAUACUUCUCGCCGAAUACGAAAGGGAUAUAAGGAAAGGUUAUACCGCCUUAUGUUAUUGCGGCCUCUAAGGACCAAAACCAAAGUUUUGGCUGAUGAGUAGAUAACUGAAAGUCCAUAUGUAAAUUAAUGGACCAGGAAAAUUAAGUUUUUAUAAUUUAAUUUAUUUUUAUAAUUUUUUAUAAAUAAAAUUAAUUUAGUCUACCGUACCCUAAACCGACACAGGUUCGUAGGUAGAGAAUACUAAGGCGUAGAGCUAAAAGUUGUUAAGGAACUCGGCAAAUUAUCCUC
Molecule: ribosomal RNA, 2384 nt
Filed under: Taiwanofungus salmoneus
Lineage: Eukaryota; Fungi; Basidiomycota; Agaricomycetes; Polyporales; Taiwanofungaceae
Description: partial large subunit ribosomal RNA
Rfam family: Bacterial large subunit ribosomal RNA (bases 2071-2384)
Source: RNAcentral